UUUUAUGGAGAGUUUGAUUCUGGCUCAGGACGAACGCUGGCGGCGUGCUUAACACAUGCAAGUCGAACGGAAAGGCUCCAGCUUGCUGGAGUACUCGAGUGGCGAACGGGUGAGUAACACGUGGGCAAUCUGCCCUGCACUCUGGGAUAAGCCUGGGAAACUGGGUCUAAUACUGGAUAGGACCUUUCUCCUCAUGGGGUUUGGUGGAAAGUUUUUCGGUGCAGGAUGAGCCCGCGGCCUAUCAGCUUGUUGGUGGGGUAAUGGCCUACCAAGGCGACGACGGGUAGCCGGCCUGAGAGGGUGAUCGGCCACAUUGGGACUGAGAUACGGCCCAGACUCCUACGGGAGGCAGCAGUGGGGAAUAUUGCACAAUGGGCGGAAGCCUGAUGCAGCGACGCCGCGUGAGGGAUGACGGCCUUCGGGUUGUAAACCUCUUUCAGUAGGGACGAAGCGUAAGUGACGGUACCUGCAGAAGAAGCACCGGCUAACUACGUGCCAGCAGCCGCGGUAAUACGUAGGGUGCGAGCGUUGUCCGGAAUUACUGGGCGUAAAGAGCUCGUAGGCGGUUUGUCACGUCGUCUGUGAAAUCCUAGGGCUUAACCCUGGACGUGCAGGCGAUACGGGCUGACUUGAGUACUACAGGGGAGACUGGAAUUUCUGGUGUAGCGGUGGAAUGCACAGAUAUCAGGAAGAACACCGAUGGCGAAGGCAGGUCUCUGGGUAGUAACUGACGCUGAGGAGCGAAAGCAUGGGUAGCGAACAGGAUUAGAUACCCUGGUAGUCCAUGCCGUAAACGGUGGGCGCUAGGUGUGGGGUUCAUUCCACGGACUCCGUGCCGUAGCUAACGCAUUAAGCGCCCCGCCUGGGGAGUACGGCCGCAAGGCUAAAACUCAAAGAAAUUGACGGGGGCCCGCACAAGCGGCGGAGCAUGUGGAUUAAUUCGAUGCAACGCGAAGAACCUUACCUGGGCUUGACAUAUAGAGGAUCGCUGCAGAGAUGUGGUUUCCCUUGUGGCUUCUAUACAGGUGGUGCAUGGUUGUCGUCAGCUCGUGUCGUGAGAUGUUGGGUUAAGUCCCGCAACGAGCGCAACCCUUGUCUUAUGUUGCCAGCACGUUAUGGUGGGGACUCGUGAGAGACUGCCGGGGUCAACUCGGAGGAAGGUGGGGAUGACGUCAAAUCAUCAUGCCCCUUAUGUCCAGGGCUUCACACAUGCUACAAUGGCCGGUACAGAGGGCUGCGAUGCUGUAAAGCGGAGCGAAUCUCUUAAAGCCGGUCUCAGUUCGGAUUGGGGUCUGCAACUCGACCCCAUGAAGUCGGAGUCGCUAGUAAUCGCAGAUCAGCAAUGCUGCGGUGAAUACGUUCCCGGGCCUUGUACACACCGCCCGUCACGUCAUGAAAGUCGGUAACACCCGAAGCCGGUGGCCUAACCUUUUUGGAGGGAGCCGUCGAAGGUGGGAUUGGCGAUUGGGACGAAGUCGUAACAAGGUAGCCGUACCGGAAGGUGCGGCUGGAUCACCUCCUUUCUAAGGA
This 1530-nucleotide ribosomal RNA is filed under the name Lawsonella clevelandensis. RNAcentral's name for it is "bacterial SSU rRNA". It matches the Rfam family "Bacterial small subunit ribosomal RNA". The record is from RNAcentral. Lineage: Bacteria; Bacillati; Actinomycetota; Actinomycetes; Mycobacteriales; Lawsonellaceae.